UAGGGGUGUGCCGGUUUCAGAAUUGGUGAUGACGGUUAUGACGCGAGUCAAAUGUGACGGUUCAUAACAUAACCGUCGGGGGGGGUAUUAUGGAUCUGCCGUAGAGUCAAUUGGUUGUUCUUGGAGAUAGCGGGUUAACUCCGUGUCAGCGCG
This is a long non-coding RNA of Carassius carassius (crucian carp), 153 nucleotides long. RefSeq lists it as uncharacterized. Lineage: Eukaryota; Metazoa; Chordata; Actinopteri; Cypriniformes; Cyprinidae. The record is from RefSeq and is a predicted model, not a curated record. The transcript has 2 exons.